GACGAACACUGGCGGCGUGCUUAACACAUGCAAGUCGAACGGAAAGGCCCUGCUUUUGUGGGGUGCUCGAGUGGCGAACGGGUGAGUAACACGUGAGUAACCUGCCCUUGACUUUGGGAUAACUUCAGGAAACUGGGGCUAAUACCGGAUAGGAGCUCCUGCUGCAUGGUGGGGGUUGGAAAGUUUCGGCGGUUGGGGAUGGACUCGCGGCUUAUCAGCUUGUUGGUGGGGUAGUGGCUUACCAAGGCUUUGACGGGUAGCCGACCUGAGAGGGUGACCGGCCACAUUGGGACUGAGAUACGGCCCAGACUCCUACGGGAGGCAGCAGUGGGGAAUAUUGCACAAUGGGCGGAAGCCUGAUGCAGCAACGCCGCGUGCGGGAUGACGGCCUUCGGGUUGUAAACCGCUUUCGCCUGUGACGAAGCGUGAGUGACGGUAAUGGGUAAAGAAGCACCGGCUAACUACGUG
Molecule: ribosomal RNA, 468 nt
Filed under: uncultured bacterium
Lineage: Bacteria
Description: partial 16S ribosomal RNA
Rfam family: Bacterial small subunit ribosomal RNA
Source: RNAcentral